UCCUCACAACAAGCAUCACAUGCUGUCAUGAGCACUACAAAGAAGAGGGUGCAUGACGAAAUAGUGGAGCAGAACCAGAAGCAAAUUAAUCAUAGAAAAUCCAUUGAUACCUUUGGCUAGAGAACAUCUCAAUAUAGAGGUGUUACAAGGCAUAGGUGGACUGGUAGAUAUGAAGCUCAUCUAUGUUCAAACUGGUCCUUUUGAUGUCACUGAACUAUUUCUUUCAGGGUAUUGUGAGGCUCAAACCCUACUUGGACUUUCUUUCUGAGGUUGGCCCUUACAAGAUUAUGGAUGGAUUAUUGUGGCCAAUUUUAGAGGUAGUAACGUCGGCAUUGGAGGAGAUGAACUUGUCAGAGGACA
Molecule: long non-coding RNA, 360 nt
Organism: Arachis ipaensis
Lineage: Eukaryota; Viridiplantae; Streptophyta; Magnoliopsida; Fabales; Fabaceae
Source: RefSeq, a predicted model, not a curated record